CUAAAUACUCCUGACUGACCGAUAGUGAACCAGUACCGUGAGGGAAAGGCGAAAAGAACCCCGGCGAGGGGAGUGAAAAAGAACCUGAAACCGUGUACGUACAAGCAGUGGGAGCACGCUUAGGCGUGUGACUGCGUACCUUUUGUAUAAUGGGUCAGCGACUUAUAUUCUGUAGCAAGGUUAACCGAAUAGGGGAGCCGAAGGGAAACCGAGUCUUAACUGGGCGUUAAGUUGCAGGGUAUAGACCCGAAACCCGGUGAUCUAGCCAUGGGCAGGUUGAAGGUUGGGUAACACUAACUGGAGGACCGAACCGACUAAUGUUGAAAAAUUAGCGGAUGACUUGUGGCUGGGGGUGAAAGGCCAAUCAAACCGGGAGAUAGCUGGUUCUCCCCGAAAGCUAUUUAGGUAGCGCCUCGUGAAUUCAUCUCCGGGGGUAGAGCACUGUUUCGGCAAGGGGGUCAUCCCGACUUACCAACCCGAUGCAAACUGCGAAUACCGGAGAAUGUUAUCACGGGAGACACACGGCGGGUGCUAACGUCCGUCGUGAAGAGGGAAACAACCCAGACCGCCAGCUAAGGUCCCAAAGUCAUGGUUAAGUGGGAAACGAUGUGGGAAGGCCCAGACAGCCAGGAUGUUGGCUUAGAAGCAGCCAUCAUUUAAAGAAAGCGUAAUAGCUCACUGGUCGAGUCGGCCUGCGCGGAAGAUGUAACGGGGCUAAACCAUGCACCGAAGCUGCGGCAGCGACGCUGAUGCGUUGUUGGGUAGGGGAGCGUUCUGUAAGCCUGUGAAGGUGUGCUGUGAGGCAUGCUGGAGGUAUCAGAAGUGCGAAUGCUGACAUAAGUAACGAUAAAGCGGGUGAAAAGCCCGCUCGCCGGAAGACCAAGGGUUCCUGUCCAACGUUAAUCGGGGCAGGGUGAGUCGACCCCUAAGGCGAGGCCGAAAGGCGUAGUCGAUGGGAAACAGGUUAAUAUUCCUGUACUUGGUGUUACUGCGAAGGGGGGACGGAGAAGGCUAUGUUGGCCGGGCGACGGUUGUCCCGGUUUAAGCGUGUAGGCUGGUUUUCCAGGCAAAUCCGGAAAAUCAAGGCUGAGGCGUGAUGACGAGGCACUACGGUGCUGAAGCAACAAAUGCCCUGCUUCCAGGAAAAGCCUCUAAGCAUCAGGUAACAUCAAAUCGUACCCCAAACCGACACAGGUGGUCAGGUAGAGAAUACCAAGGCGCUUGAGAGAACUCGGGUGAAGGAACUAGGCAAAAUGGUGCCGUAACUUCGGGAGAAGGCACGCUGAUAUGUAGGUGAAGUCCCUCGCGGAUGGAGCUGAAAUCAGUCGAAGAUACCAGCUGGCUGCAACUGUUUAUUAAAAACACAGCACUGUGCAAACACGAAAGUGGACGUAUACGGUGUGACGCCUGCCCGGUGCCGGAAGGUUAAUUGAUGGGGUCAGCGCAAGCGAAGCUCUUGAUCGAAGCCCCGGUAAACGGCGGCCGUAACUAUAACGGUCCUAAGGUAGCGAAAUUCCUUGUCGGGUAAGUUCCGACCUGCACGAAUGGCGUAAUGAUGGCCAGGCUGUCUCCACCCGAGACUCAGUGAAAUUGAACUCGCUGUGAAGAUGCAGUGUACCCGCGGCAAGACGGAAAGACCCCGUGAACCUUUACUAUAGCUUGACACUGAACAUUGAGCCUUGAUGUGUAGGAUAGGUGGGAGGCUUAGAAGUGUGGACGCCAGUCUGCAUGGAGCCGACCUUGAAAUACCACCCUUUAAUGUUUGAUGUUCUAACGUUGACCCGUAAUCCGGGUUGCGGACAGUGUCUGGUGGGUAGUUUGACUGGGGCGGUCUCCUCCUAAAGAGUAACGGAGGAGCACGAAGGUUGGCUAAUCCUGGUCGGACAUCAGGAGGUUAGUGCAAUGGCAUAAGCCAGCUUGACUGCGAGCGUGACGGCGCGAGCAGGUGCGAAAGCAGGUCAUAGUGAUCCGGUGGUUCUGAAUGGAAGGGCCAUCGCUCAACGGAUAAAAGGUACUCCGGGGAUAACAGGCUGAUACCGCCCAAGAGUUCAUAUCGACGGCGGUGUUUGGCACCUCGAUGUCGGCUCAUCACAUCCUGGGGCUGAAGUAGGUCCCAAGGGUAUGGCUGUUCGCCAUUUAAAGUGGUACGCGAGCUGGGUUUAGAACGUCGUGAGACAGUUCGGUCCCUAUCUGCCGUGGGCGCUGGAGAACUGAGGGGGGCUGCUCCUAGUACGAGAGGACCGGAGUGGACGCAUCACUGGUGUUCGGGUUGUCAUGCCAAUGGCACUGCCCGGUAGCUAAAUGCGGAAGAGAUAAGUGCUGAAAGCAUCUAAGCACGAAACUUGCCCCGAGAUGAGUUCUCCCUGACCCUUUAAGGGUCCUGAAGGAACGUUGAAGACGACGACGUUGAUAGGCCGGGUGUGUAAGCGCAGCGAUGCGUUGAGCUAACCGGUACUAAUGAACCGUGAGGCUUAACCUUACAACGCCGAAGCUGUU
Molecule: ribosomal RNA, 2496 nt
Filed under: Escherichia coli
Lineage: Bacteria; Pseudomonadati; Pseudomonadota; Gammaproteobacteria; Enterobacterales; Enterobacteriaceae
Description: partial 23S ribosomal RNA
Rfam family: Bacterial large subunit ribosomal RNA
Source: RNAcentral